This 43-nucleotide non-coding RNA is filed under the name unclassified sequences. The record is from RNAcentral.
UGGGACAGCGAUCUCCCCGUGAAGCGACUUGCCCAAGUAUCGC